Molecule: ribosomal RNA, 460 nt
Filed under: uncultured bacterium
Lineage: Bacteria
Description: partial 16S ribosomal RNA
Rfam family: Bacterial small subunit ribosomal RNA
Source: RNAcentral
CCUACGGGGGGCUGCAGUGAGGAAUAUUGGUCAAUGGGCGCGAGCCUGAACCAGCCAAGUAGCGUGAAGGAUGACUGCCCUACGGGUUGUAAACUUCUUUUAUAAAGGAAUAAAGUGAGGCACGUGUGCCUUUUUGUAUGUACUUUAUGAAUAAGGAUCGGUUAACUCCGUGCCAUCAGCCGCGGUAAUACGGAGGAUCCGAGCGUUAUCCGGAUUUAUUGGGUUUAAAGGGAGCGUAGAUGGGUUGUUAAGUCAGUUGUGAAAGUUUGCGGCUCAACCGUAAAAUUGCAAUUGAUACUGGCAGUCUUGAGUACAGUUGAGGUAGGCGGAAUUCGUGGUGUAGCGGUGAAAUGCUUAGAUAUCACGAAGAACUCCGAUUGCGAAGGCAGCUUACUAAACUGCCACUGACAUUGAUGCUCGAAAGUGUGGGUAUCAAACAGGAUUAGAUACCCCAGUAGUC